GGAUGAUUAGGACUUUGUUGUUUGUUUGACAAUUCAAAGGAAAUGGUUUUCUAUUUGACACUAUUGUCUUGUCGAUGCUUCCCAUGGGUUAGAUCUUUUCAACUCAGAACUCUCAAUCUUGUCUAAAAUUGCCUCUUCAUCUCCACCUUCUUCUUCUUUAAUUUCAAUUUUCAAAACUUCUUUGCUUGUUGUUUUUCAACUUAGACUUGUUUUAAUGAGUAGAAACCUUUGCCUUAU
RNAcentral lists this long non-coding RNA (237 nucleotides) under Lathyrus oleraceus (garden pea). Its description in RNAcentral is "Pisum sativum (pea) long non-coding RNA (PSAT_LNC016514)". Lineage: Eukaryota; Viridiplantae; Streptophyta; Magnoliopsida; Fabales; Fabaceae. The record is from RNAcentral.